Dorea sp. 5-2 is the source of this 419-nucleotide non-coding RNA. Lineage: Bacteria; Bacillati; Bacillota; Clostridia; Lachnospirales; Lachnospiraceae. The record is from Rfam.
CGACGGAGUGGUUUGGCACCUCGAUGUCGGCUCAUCGCAUCCUGGGGCUGAAGUAGGUCCCAAGGGUUGGGCUGUUCGCCCAUUAAAGCGGUACGCGAGCUGGGUUCAGAACGUCGUGAGACAGUUCGGUCCCUAUCCGGCGCGGGCGUAGGAUAUUUGAGAGGAGCUGUCCUUAGUACGAGAGGACCGGGAUGGACUGGCCGCUGGUGUAUCUGUUGGCUUAUCAAGGCCAUGGCAGAGUAGCCAAGCCGGGAGGGGAUAAACGCUGAAGGCAUCUAAGCGUGAAGCCCCCCUCAAGAUGAGAUAUCCCUACCAAAAGGUAGUAAGACCCCUUGAAGACGACGAGGUAGAUAGGGCGGAGGUGGAAGUGCAGUAAUGUAUGGAGCUGACCGCAACUAAUCGGUCGAGGGCAUGACCAA